This 520-nucleotide ribosomal RNA is filed under the name uncultured Glomus. RNAcentral describes it as "SSU rRNA". It matches the Rfam family "Eukaryotic small subunit ribosomal RNA", at positions 569 to 1093 of the family's 1831-position model. Lineage: Eukaryota; Fungi; Glomeromycota; Glomeromycetes; Glomerales; Glomeraceae. The record is from RNAcentral.
AGCAGCCACGGUAAUUCCAGCUCCAAUAGCGUAUAUUAAAGUUGCUGCAGUUAAAAAGCUCGUAGUUGAAUUUCGGGACCAUCAUGUCGGUCGUGCCUCGGUACGUACUGGCAUUGUUGGUUUCUUCCUUCUGACGAACCAUGAUGUCAUUUAUUUGGUGUCGUGGGAAAUCAGGACUGUUACUUUGAAAAAAUUAGAGUGUUUAAAGCAGGCUCACGCUUGAAUACAUUAGCAUGGAAUAAUGAAAUAGGAUGUUUGAUUCUAUUUUGUUGGUUUUUAGGAUCGACGUAAUGAUUAAUAGGGAUAGUUGGGGGCAUUAGUAUUCAAUUGUCAGAGGUGAAAUUCUUGGAUUUAUUGAAGACUAACUACUGCAAAAGCAUUUGCCAAGGAUGUUUUCAUUAAUCAAGAACGAAAGUUAGGAUCGAAGACGAUCAGAUACCGUCGUAGUCUUAACCAUAAACUAUGCCGACUAGGAAUCAGAUGAUGUUAAUUUUUUAAUGACUCAUUCGGCGCCUUACGG